ACACAUUUUGGGCAGGAGAGACACCAUUCUUGGCCUUUUGGCUCAGAUCAAAAAUAGGUAUAGGGUAAGGCUUGCCCAUUGCACUCCAGAGGGGCUGAACUCUAUAAGUUUCCCUAAAUGUGGGAAACUUAACUGCACAGUUUUGUGUCAGUGGGUGACUGCAUUUGCACUUUCCCC
Small nuclear RNA from Crocodylus porosus (Australian saltwater crocodile), 177 nucleotides. Its record names the gene U1. It matches the Rfam family "U1 spliceosomal RNA". Rfam says of the family: U1 is a small nuclear RNA (snRNA) component of the spliceosome (involved in pre-mRNA splicing). Its 5' end forms complementary base pairs with the 5' splice junction, thus defining the 5' donor site of an intron. There are significant differences in sequence and secondary structure between metazoan and yeast U1 snRNAs, the latter being much longer (568 nucleotides as compared to 164 nucleotides in human). The record is from Ensembl. NCBI's taxonomy places the organism in Eukaryota, Metazoa, Chordata, Crocodylia, Crocodylidae.